This 450-nucleotide ribosomal RNA is filed under the name uncultured bacterium. Its description in RNAcentral is "bacterial SSU rRNA". It matches the Rfam family "Bacterial small subunit ribosomal RNA", at positions 355 to 825 of the family's 1533-position model. The record is from RNAcentral.
UCAAGAAACUUCCACAAUGGGCGAAAGCCUGAUGGAGCGACGUCGCGUGAUGGACGAAGUGCUUCGGCACGUAAAUAUCUUUUAUGUGGGAUGAAAUUAUUGACAGUACCACAUGAAUAAGGGGCUCCUAACUCUGUGCCAGCAGGAGCGGUAAUACAGAGGCCCCAAGCGUUAUCCGGAAUCACUGGGCGUAAAGGGUGUCGAGGCGGUUGUAUUAGUCGUUCGUAAAAUCUACGAGCUUAACUUGUAGGCGGCGAACGAAACGGUACGACUUGAGGUUUGGAGAGGUGCGUGGAACUCACGGUGUAGGGGUGAAAUCCGUUGAUAUCGUGGGGAACACCAAAGGCGAAGGCAGCGCACUGGCCAAAAUCUGACGCUCACACACGAAAGCUAGGGUAGCGAAGAGGAUUAGAUACCCUCGUAGUCCCUGAGCGGGCUGGCAAGGCGCAU